AAACCAAUGAUACGAACAGAUGC
RNAcentral lists this non-coding RNA (23 nucleotides) under Arabidopsis thaliana (thale cress). The record is from RNAcentral. Lineage: Eukaryota; Viridiplantae; Streptophyta; Magnoliopsida; Brassicales; Brassicaceae.